CUUCGUAAGUCCUCAGCCAGUAAAGGGGCAACCAGCGAGGAUGCGGCGCUGCGGCUGAAGCUAGGAGGCCGCUGAGGCUACCGAAGAGGGGACGAGGCGAGGAGGCGGCGGUAGGAGGCGGCUAGCUUGGGCGCCCGCACCUGGAAGGGGGCCGCGGGGCGGGUCAGGAGGCAGCUCACGGGGGCGAAGGAGUCACGACCCCGACCCCCCCAGCAGCUUGGGUUCCGCACGACGCACCGGGUGUACGCGUACCUCCGCCGGGACCUCUUCAAAAGACUCUUGAACACGCACUACCUCUUCCUAUAACCAUAAGACGAUCUUGUACUCUCUGCGAAGCUCGCGUCCCUCGUCAAGGUGUUCUCUGACAGCAUGCAGGAGUAAGGACCACGGUAGAAGCAGAAGACGGGCCUGUUCUUCUCCCUUGGGAGCUGCCUCCCCGUCAGCCCGCAGAUCGAAGUAGGCACUUUUAGAUCCCCGGAAGAAGUACACUGGUCACCAUUGCCUUCCAAGAACUUGACACACCAACCAACUAACUCAACGCUUCAAACCAACCAACCCAAAAGACUAGUGAGUCAAACCUCCGCCUGCCCAUUGCUAGAAGACAUGGUCUGCGACCCCCGCAACCUACUAGACCGUUUUAAUCCUUGUUUCAGAAAACAACGAAGGUUCCACAACCAAACUUACCUUUAGCUUUGUUGGUAGGUAGCACCAAAAGAACAACACAACUUGUUCCAAAAAAAACAGACCUUGCGAC
RNAcentral lists this ribosomal RNA (754 nucleotides) under Triticum aestivum (bread wheat). RNAcentral's name for it is "partial small subunit ribosomal RNA". The record is from RNAcentral. Lineage: Eukaryota; Viridiplantae; Streptophyta; Magnoliopsida; Poales; Poaceae.